Long non-coding RNA from Lynx canadensis (Canada lynx), 231 nucleotides. RefSeq lists it as uncharacterized. Lineage: Eukaryota; Metazoa; Chordata; Mammalia; Carnivora; Felidae. The transcript has 3 exons. The record is from RefSeq and is a predicted model, not a curated record.
UUUUAUUAGGAUAAUUGCUGAAGACUCUGUGGACAAAGUCAGCUAAAUCACAGAGUGUUCUCGUGUCCAUCACCUCGCCUGACUGUUCUGGUGGUCUGUGAGGAAAGCAAGACCGAUGAUUUCCCCCACUUUACAGAGACAGCACCGUCUGAGUCCACCAGAUGGGCUUCUAAGCAGACUCAGGACCCAGCAGAUGGCAUGGAGACCAAGGCUGGCCGGGGAGGACCCCUG